This is a long non-coding RNA of Eriocheir sinensis (Chinese mitten crab), 1913 nucleotides long. RefSeq lists it as uncharacterized. NCBI's taxonomy places the organism in Eukaryota, Metazoa, Arthropoda, Malacostraca, Decapoda, Varunidae. The record is from RefSeq and is a predicted model, not a curated record. The transcript has 2 exons.
ACCAGAAAUAUAAAAAAAUAAGAAAAAUAUUUUAGGUCUGCCCACACACACACACACACACACACACACACACACACAGGGAGCAGGUCAGGUCAAGUUAGGUCAGGUCGGGGUCACACACACGGGUCACCUACUACAGAGCUCACACACACACGGGGCAGGUCAGGUUAGGUCAGGUCGGGGUCACACACACAGGGGUCAGCUACUACAGAGGUCACAGGGCAGGUAAUUUGUGCUAAUAAUCAUGAUAAUUGUAGUAAUUUGUUACCAGAAAAAGACAAAAAAAAAAAAAAAAUACUGAAUAGAAAAUUACCAGAAUAGAUUAAAAUAAAUAAAUUAUCAGAAAAAAAAGAUUGAACAGAGAAUAAAAUAGAUUGAAUAGAGAGAGAAAUAGAUUGAAUAGAGAAAAUAAUAGAUUGAAUUGAUAAUAAAAUAGAUUGAAUAGAGAAAAAUAGAUUGAAUAGAGAAAAUAAUAGAUUGAAUUGAUAAUAAAAUAGAUUGAAUAGAGAAAAAUAGAUUGAAUAGAGAAAAUAAUAGAUUGAAUUGAUAAUAAAAUAGAUUGAAUAGAGAAAAAUAGAUUGAAUAGAGAAAAUAAUAGAUUGAAUUGAUAAUAAAAUAGAUUGAAUAGAGGACAAAAAUAGAUUGAGUAGAGAAAAUAAAUUAUGAGGAAAAAUACCCCCCAAAAAAAAGAUUGAAGAGAAAAAAAUUACCAAAAAAUACCCAAAAAAUACCAAAAAAUUCCAAAAAAAUACCCAAAAAUACCCAAAAAAUUGAGGAGAAAAAUUACCACAAAAAAAAAGAUUGAAUAGAGAGAAAAAAAAUUACAAGCCGGAAAAAUAAAUACAAUAAUAAUAAUAAUAAUAAUAAUAAUAAUAAUAAUAAUAAUAAUAAUAAUAAUAAUAAUAAUAAUAAUAAUAAUAAUAAUAUUAGCCUUAAUGUAUAGCUAAAGGAACACCAAAUAUCCUUCUAUAUGUAUCAUUAAGAGUAUUCAUCAAUCACUAUGUACACACACUAAGGAGACACACACACAUAAACGCACACGCACACUGAAAACGCACAUGGGGACAAAUACGCACACACAAAUAAUACAUACAUACAUACACAAUUCAUGGCCUCUUGACACACGCACAUGGCCAAAACAUACACACACUGAGUAUACGCACACACAGAAAACGCACAUGGGACAAAUACGCACACACACAUGAAAACACAUACACACACAAGAGAAAUACGUACAUGAGUGGCCUCUUAAUACGUACAUAGCCAAAAUACACACACAUAAAAGUACACAUACACACGUACAUGGGUAAAAUACGCACACGAUAAAAUACAUGAAUGGCCGCUUACGCACAUAAAGAACACACACACACACACAGCUAGUUUUUACGCACAUGACCCAAAAUUACGCACACACACUUGGGUAGUUUAUGCGCACAUGACUGUAAAAUACGUACACAUACACACAUGGCCAGUCACUGUGUACAUGGCCACAUAAUACGUACACAGUUGGCUAUUUUAUACGCACAUGGCCCUAAAGUCUAUACGCACAUGGCUUCAAAAACGUACACGGCUUCAAAAAAGUCCAAAAAACGCACAUGGCCAUAAAGUCUGUACGUACAUGCAUAGCCAAGAAAGACGCACACGACCACAAAAAUACGUACAAACACACACAUAUGGCCAGUAAAUACGCACAUGGUCACUAAAAUACGUACACAGACAAACGCACAUGAAUACGUACACAAUAAAAUACCCAUGAAAUAAUGCAUCUAAAUUACGCUCAUGGUAAAUACGCACAUACUAGUAAAUACGCACAUGAUUAUUUACUUACAUGUGUGCGCGUAUGUGGGAACUGAUAAUGGUACACACACACACACACACACACACACACACACACACACACACACACACACACA